AUGCCACGGUGAAUACGUUCCCGGGCCUUGUACACACCGCCCGUCACACCAUGGGAGUGGGCUGCAAAAGAAGUAGGUAGUUUAACCUUCGGGGGGACGCUUACCACUUUGUGGUUCAUGACUGGGGUGAAGUCGUAACAAGGUAGCGCUAGGGGAACCUGGCGCUGGAUCACCUCCUUAAACGAUGAU
This 189-nucleotide ribosomal RNA is filed under the name Vibrio parahaemolyticus. Its description in RNAcentral is "partial 16S ribosomal RNA". It matches the Rfam family "Bacterial small subunit ribosomal RNA", at positions 1354 to 1533 of the family's 1533-position model. Lineage: Bacteria; Pseudomonadati; Pseudomonadota; Gammaproteobacteria; Vibrionales; Vibrionaceae. The record is from RNAcentral.